This 1427-nucleotide long non-coding RNA is filed under the name Vulpes vulpes (red fox). RNAcentral describes it as "lncRNA (ENSVVUG00000025347.1)". Lineage: Eukaryota; Metazoa; Chordata; Mammalia; Carnivora; Canidae. The record is from RNAcentral.
GUUAACAACUACCUCUCUUCUAUCUUCUCUCUUGUAGUAGGAUAUUCUCUGAGUCUAUUCUUCCUAUCAGGACCGAAAUGCCUAACAGGAAAUGUGGUCAUAAUGGCUCUUUCUGGAUUCUGGUUCCAUUUGCAAUUCCUGCUCUAUGUCUUGAAGAAAAUCUGGGCAGAAGGAUUAUGUCUCAGGGCAUCAUCCGUGCAGACUAAAGAUUAUGAAGUCUGCAGCAGUUCCACUGUAUGAUUCAGCUCCCAGGAUGGAGGGACCGCUGGGUUCAUGUCACCAUUUUAAUGGAAAUCCUCGCCUACCUUUUAACAUGCAGAACUCCAGACUACUCCGUGCAGCUGUAACAUGGCCGAGAAGUGACUUGUCUGUCCUAAGUGAUAUGUCUCUUAAGUCCUUUCAAUGCAGACAACCCUCUGGCCUUUAAUCUGAGAAUGGUGUCUACUUUGUCAGGAUAGGAUUCUCCAUACUCUAGAAAAUGCCUUCUGGAUGAGAAGGGGGUGGUGGGUAUUGGGAAUUCAAGAAUAUAGUGUAAAACUUAAAAUUUUAUCUAGUCUGCUUCUUAUCCACCUUCAGUCUAGAUAAAAUGAAUCAGACAAAAUGUUACCUUUUCUUCAUCUCUCAUCACUAUAUAGAUUCCAUUUCCUUCUAUUCCCCAGCUCUUCUGUGGCAGCCCCCAUGACCCAUUUUUUUCUCUUGCCCCCGUUUCUUCUUUUCUAAGUCCCAUUCUCUCAGGUUAGCCAAAGUCAGUUUGGCAUAAAUUAAGGGCAAUUGCCCAUUAUUUUAAAUGUUUUAUUAAUUUUUUUUGCCCAUUUUUAUUUACAAGAUGUUUCUCUUUUAGCUGUUAGUUACAUGAUAGUCUGUUUCCAACACUUGACUAUGUGCUUCUUAGAGACAAGGACUGCAUCUUAUUCAUCCCUGCAUUUGAUACUCAGAGGACACUCUAAUGUUAGUCAUAAUUUAGGUGGUCCUGCUUGUCUUUCCACAGCUCUAGGAAUUAUAUCACUCAAAUAUGGCAGACAUAAUGGCUGAAAUAUAUUCCAUGCAUCUUGUAGGGUCUGCUCAGAUGCCUGUGUUCUGAGACACCAGGUACCAACCUGGUAAUCAUCAGUUUGUUCUUAUAGUUAAAAGUCUGUUUCUUGAUUUCUCUCUCUCUCUCUCUCUCUCUCUUUUAUUCCUUUGCUGGUCUGUUUUCUUUCUAAAAUUCUACAUAAAAUUCUACAUAUAAGUGAAGUCAUAUGGUAUUUGUCUUUCUCUGGCUGACUUAUUUUGCUUUGCCUAGCAUUGUACUCUCUAGAUCCAUCCAUGUCAUUGCAAACGGCAAGAUUUCAUUCUUUUUACAACCGAAUCAUAUUCCAUUAUAAAUAAUAUUCCAUUAUAUAUAUUUCAUUUCAUGUAUAUAUGGACACUUGGUCUGCUUCUGUAUU